UUUAAUAUUCAGUUAAAUAACACUCAGAGUAAACCUGUGAGGAAAGUAUAUUCAGGGGUUAUAACUUUAAAUAAUAAAGAAUAAAAUAUUAUAUUAAGAGACUCAAACUCCUGCUUGUCAGGUGACACAUGAAAGUGAAACUAUUAUAAGCAGGAUCCGUUUUGUCAUAUGAGGAAGUAAACUACAUUAAGAGAGAAAAACACAGUCAUUACUGUGGACUGACUGAUGAGACAGAGGUGGAUUUGAGAAAAUUAAAUACUGAGAUGAUUCAUAACUCACUCUGUGCAGGGCCGGCCCUGGCCAAUUUGCUGCCCUAGGCAAGAUUUUACCUGGUGCCCCUUGCUUCACAGCCCAUUCCACCAAUAAUACAUUUUCUUAUUUACAAAAAAAAAAAAAAAAAAAAAAAGCUGAUGAUAGUGAAAUGGUAACACUUACAAUAAGGUACCAUUUGUUAACAUUAGUGAAUGUAUUAACUAACUUGAACUAACAAUAAACAAUACAUUUGUAACAGUAUAAAUUUGAAAAGUGUUCGACUUCCAGUAGAUGGCAGCAAUGUUUUACUAAACUAGCCCUUGCUAACAGUAUCACCUCGAAUUUAACUGAGAAACGUACAUCUUUAAAGUGAAUUUUACAUAAAAUGUUGCUAUUUUAAUAAGCCCAGUUAUAUACAAAUAUUAGUAAAUUAGCCAAUUCCAUUAGCCAAAUACCAUAGAUCCCCAAAUACUACACACUACUACUAGCGUAAAAAUAUUAUUAAAAUGUGUUAUCAUGCGACACGAAAAAUGACACGAUUAUGUUACAAAGUUUCGGAUCUCUGGUACUCCAUUGUUAUUACCCCAUUUUAAACUUUUAGGCUAGGCCAACAUUAAGUUUGUUCACAAACUUUUACCUCAUGUAGUUUAUUUAUAUGAUCAUCAUUCAUUACAUCAUAUUACCUCUGUCUUUGUCCCGGUUUUUCUUCCCUAUGCACCAGAGGGCUUCGGUCUUUUUGACAUACUGAUAAUUUAUUAGUGAAGUGGAACGUCUAUCACAAUCAGGUGACUGAUGUAUGUGGAAGUGCGGCUGUGCGGGGGGAGAUUGAUCAUGUGUCGAACCGAAUAGUUAUGUUUUUGUCGGAUAAUCGCUUUUUUGUAAUAUUUUAAAUUGAUAGCAUUGAAGUAGUAUUGGUAAAAAAACAAAAACAAAAAAAAGCAAAAAAACAACAACAACAACAAAAAAAAACA
Labeo rohita (rohu) is the source of this 1223-nucleotide long non-coding RNA. RefSeq lists it as uncharacterized. The record is from RefSeq and is a predicted model, not a curated record. NCBI's taxonomy places the organism in Eukaryota, Metazoa, Chordata, Actinopteri, Cypriniformes, Cyprinidae. The transcript has 2 exons.